This 497-nucleotide ribosomal RNA is filed under the name uncultured bacterium. RNAcentral's name for it is "partial 16S ribosomal RNA". It matches the Rfam family "Bacterial small subunit ribosomal RNA", at positions 28 to 507 of the family's 1533-position model. The record is from RNAcentral.
GAUGAACGCUGGCGGCGUGCCUAAUACAUGCAAGUCGAGCGAACAGAUGAGGAGCUUGCUCCUCUGACGUUAGCGGCGGACGGGUGAGUAACACGUGGAUAACCUACCUAUAAGACUGGGAUAACUUCGGGAAACCGGAGCUAAUACCGGAUAAUAUAUUGAACCGCAUGGUUCAAUAGUGAAAGACGGUUUUGCUGUCACUUAUAGAUGGAUCCGCGCCGCAUUAGCUAGUUGGUAAGGUAACGGCUUACUAAGGCAACGAUGCGUAGCCGACCUGAGAGGGUGAUCGGCCGCACUGGAACUGAGACACGGUCCAGACUCCUACGGGAGGCAGCAGUAGGGAAUCUUCCGCAAUGGGCGAAAGCCUGACGGAGCAACGCCGCGUGAGUGAUGAAGGUCUUCGGAUCGUAAAACUCUGUUAUUAGGGAAGAACAAAUGUGUAAGUAACUAUGCACGUCUUGACGGUACCUAAUCAGAAAGCCACGGCUAACUACGUG